Molecule: ribosomal RNA, 266 nt
Filed under: uncultured Pseudomonas sp.
Lineage: Bacteria; Pseudomonadati; Pseudomonadota; Gammaproteobacteria; Pseudomonadales; Pseudomonadaceae
Description: partial 16S ribosomal RNA
Rfam family: Bacterial small subunit ribosomal RNA
Source: RNAcentral
ACCAGCACGUUAUGUGGGCGACUCUAAGGAGACUGCCGGUGACAAACCGGAGGAAGGUGGGGAUGACGUCAAGUCAUCAUGGCCCUUACGGCCUGGGCUACACACGUGCUACAAUGGUCGGUACAAAAGGUUGCCAAGCCGCGAGGUGGAGCUAAUCCCAUAAAACCGAUCGUAGUCCGGAUCGCAGUCUGCAACUCGACUGCGUGAAGUCGGAAUCGCUAGUAAUCGUGAAUCAGAAUGUCACGGUGAAUACGUUCCCGGGCCUU